This 433-nucleotide ribosomal RNA is filed under the name uncultured bacterium. RNAcentral describes it as "partial 16S ribosomal RNA". It matches the Rfam family "Bacterial small subunit ribosomal RNA", at positions 30 to 507 of the family's 1533-position model. The record is from RNAcentral.
AACGAACGCUGGCGGCAUGCCUAACACAUGCAAGUCGAACGAGACCUUCGGGUCUAGUGGCGCACGGGUGCGUAACGCGUGGGAACCUGCCCUUAGGUUCGGAAUAACUCCCCGAAAGGGGUGCUAAUACCGGAUAAUGUCUUCGGACCAAAGAUUUAUCGCCUUUGGAUGGGCCCGCGUUGGAUUAGCUAGUUGGUAGGGUAAAAGCCUACCAAGGCGACGAUCCAUAGCUGGUCUGAGAGGAUGAUCAGCCACACUGGGACUGAGACACGGCCCAGACACAUACGGGAGGAGGCAGGGGGGGAUAGGGGAGAAGGGAGUAAAGUCUGAGCAAGCUAGGACGCGGGAAGGAUGAACGCGUGAGGGUAGAAAAGGGAUUGUACAAGGGAGGACAAGGACAGGACCGAAAGAAUAAGAUAAGGCUAACUCAGGG